This is an RNA transcript of Adelges cooleyi (spruce gall adelgid), 3880 nucleotides long. It is a transcript of the gene named biorientation of chromosomes in cell division protein 1-like 1, with no coding region annotated. NCBI's taxonomy places the organism in Eukaryota, Metazoa, Arthropoda, Insecta, Hemiptera, Adelgidae. The transcript is spliced from 8 exons. The record is from RefSeq and is a predicted model, not a curated record.
CUAUUAUCUUGUGAAUGUUAUAUCGCGAUUUCCAAUUAUGUAGUAUCUAGUAGCAUUUACGUAAAUUUUUGUAUAUAAUAUGUAUUAUAUGUUAUAUAUAAUACAAAUAUGUAGGUAUAUGACGUAUAUACCUAUGUAUAACUUAGAAAAAAAUUAAAUUUUGAACUUUAAUAUUAAUAUUCGUCCAAAAUAUUAACAAACUUUAUUAUUUUUUUUACCAUUGAACGAUAUUGUAUUGAACGAAUUUGUGCAUUACUCACAAAACUACUACUACGAACCUGCUACAUUAAAAUAUUACGCGAUGGAUCAUCUAAAUGAUAAUGUGCACAGCGUCGAAGAAGUUGUGUUUGUACUGUUGGAAACUCUCAAAGCAAAUGGAACGUUUGAUGAGUUUCGCAGGGAUUGUGUAUCUAAUAUUGAUGCAAAGCCGACUUUUCAAAACUGGAAACAGCGAAUCGAGUCAAAUAUCAACAAAUUUCUUAGUAAAAUUAAUUAUACACCCGAAUUAAACAAAAAUUCAAUUCGAGAGCGACUACGAAAGCAUUUGUUUGAUGGACGUGAAUCUCGUGAAAUAGAAGAUGGAGCAGACAGAAUACUUACUCAAGUGUUCGCUUCUAGAACUCUAAAUGUUUUUGAAACUAAAAUAGAGAAUGCCGUCAAUGAAUAUUUGGGAAUCAAAAAUGAGAAAACAAUUGAACAAAAUGGUAUGCAAGCUUCUUGCAUCAAUGUGAACAAUUUGACUAAAGUUAGUAUAAACUCUACCAACUCAGAUGAUAACCAAGAAUCACCAAGUAAUCACACCGAUAAUGCUGAAGUAACGUCUCCCGAAUUCGAACCCUUAAUUUCGGGUAUGGACAAUGAAAAUAGUAACGAUGAAAGUAUAUCUGGAAUGUCAGAUUUAAAUAGUAUUGGCGGAAGUCCUGUGCAAUGUACAACCAAAAACAAUCUCGAAACUAACUCUAAUGGUAUUAAUUCUGAAAAAUCUUCAAUUGAUAAAUUACAGUCAAUUCCAUCAGAAAAAAAUGGCAUAAGCCCUAAGAAUGAUGAUGAUGAUGAUAACGUAACUGAUGUCAAUAAAAAUACUAACGAUGUUGAAAAACACAAAAUAAGCGAUAACAGUUCAAAGAGUAAACAUCAUUCUUCAGUAACAGACAAACAGUCCAAGGAAAAGUCCAGUAGUAAUCACCAUCAUAAGUCUGACAAGUCCAAAGAUCGUAGUUCUAAUGGUCAAGAAAAGAGUGAUGUAAAAAAGAGCAGUAGCUCUAAAGAUAAAAAAUCUAGUAGCCACAGUAAACACCGCAGUGAGUCGAGAGAUAAGGAUAGGAAGCAUCGAAGUGACAAAAAAUCACAUCACAGUGAUCGAGAACGAACUCCAAAAAGAGAUAGAAAAGAUUCUCGUUCAGAUAUGAAAGAUAAAUCGUCUAGCCUUUGCAAAGAACCCAAAUCAACUAAUGAUAAUCGUAGCGACGACGAGAGCAAUGCUGGCGGUUCUUCAAAACAACAAAAAUCUAGUUUGCAUAAAAAUAGAAGUUCCACGUCUGAGAAGUCCAAAUCGUCUUCCAGUAACCAUAAAAGUGGUAGAAAAGACAAUGGAAAUAAAGACGACGCUGUUAAAAGUAAAGACAAAUUAUUAGAAAGUUCUAAACAUUCAACUCGUAAAAAUAGUACCUCAAAAAAACAUGAAAAAAAAUCAAAAAAGGAAUCGAAUUGUCAAAAUGAUUUAUUUUCAAACAAUGAUCAAGAUAUGGCAAAUGUUCUUUUAUCGAUAGGAGGUACUGUUGUUCCGUACGACAAUGAAAGGAAAACUGAAGAUAUGACGUUAGGUCAAAGGGAAAAAAUAGAAAACACUCAAGAUGAUAUUCAUGAUAAGCUAUCUGAAAGUUCACAAACUAUCCUUAACGUCGAAGAAACCGAUAAACAGGGUGGUGUAAAAACAGUGAGCCCAAUGCAGAAUGCUUCAACUGAAAUUCCUGAAGAUUUGUUAGAAUUGAAUGACUAUACAAAAAAGACAGAGGAGCCACAUAAAGAUAUUUUAAGUAGACAUAAUAAAUUAAAUGUUGUUGUAACAAGCGAAAAAAACGGUGAGAACAAUCCAGUCAAAAGUAUUUCUGAUUUCCCACUAGAACAAAAAAUUGAGAAAAUAACAGAAAUCAAUGAGCUUGUUGAUUCCCAAGAUAAUAUUGAAAAAAAAUCUAGAAUUCCUUCUUCAGACUCGUCUAUUUUAAGAAAUGUAUUCAUCUCUUCCGAUUUAAAAGAGAAAGACCUAACGGACACAGUAAAAUGUCAGGAUGAAAAUAUAAGUGUAAAGGAAGUCUUUAAAUGUAAAAACCCGUUGCAAAAAAUAGAACAAUUGAACUGUGAUAUAAAAACUAGUAACGCUUUUGAUAUUUCUGACGUCUCCAUGGAUAAAGAUAAGAUAACUGUGUUAAACAAUAUAUUGACUACUAAAACUAUUCAAUCACCUAAGGAGUUAAAUUAUUUGAACGAAAUUCCUACACCUAACAAAGUAGGUAUGAUAUUAAAAUUGAAGAAAGUUGGGUUAAAUAAAUAUAAAAGGAAAUCCAGUACCGGGGUUGAAUUCACGAGUAAAAAAGUUAGGUCGUCGAAAAACAUUACGUUUUUGAAUGAAAUUGAUAUUUUUCAAAAAAACGUUCAAUGUAAAAGCAAUAAUGUAAAAAUUGACAACCAUGUAGGUUCUGAAACAAAAACCAUUGUAACUAAUUCUACAAGCGUACAAUGUUCAGUAGUGAAUGAUUCUGAAGUGCUUAAUGAUUUUAUAGGGUUUACUGAAUCACAAGCUGUACCUUGUCAAAACUAUUUAAAUUUGAAAAAUUUACUUGACAAUUACAUUGUGGACACAUGGAAAUUCGAAGGUUUUGCUCCCACAGAAGUGAUUCCAUGUAAAAAUCGAGAGAAAGUAUAUGCUGAAGUGGUUAAAUUAAAAGGCGAUGAAGAGUUUUAUGGGUUUACCGAUGAAGAAGCUCGAGUUUGUUUUGGGUACGAACAGGUCAAACAGCACCUUGAACAAGCUAAACAACAAUUUAUUACAUGGCUGAAAAGUCAACACGAAGCUGUAGGUGGUGGGAACGGCACACAAAACGGAAGAAACAUAAAUGAAAUGAUGGCUGUUUUGUAUGAAAAUGAUAAGAUAACUGACAUCAAAUCAAAUAUAAUUUACAGUCGGCCAAAUAAAAGUAAUAGCAAUCUAGAAGAGAUAUCUACAACGCCAAAUAAUAAUAAUCGCAAUGAAAUUACAACAUCUAGCCAUUGGGUUGCCGAACAAGAAAUGAAAUAUAAACUUUUACCGGUCAAGGUAAAACUGGAAAGGCUUUUAGAAUCCAGAUCUAAUGAUACAACCUAAACGUUUUUCUGAAUCUCUACAAGUAUUGAGUGCAUCAAGUGUUUCUCUUGGAAAAAGUACACAUAUUUUCAUUAAUUUCACUUUUACCUUUCAAUAAUAGUAUAAAAACCAAAUAAUCUUUAUCAAUAUUCUAUUACACUAACACCAAUCACCACCAAAAUUUACUUGGAUUAACUAGUUUUGAUAGAGGACAAUCAAAAAUAUAAUAAUAUUAAUUGACAGAAGAGAAAUAAUUCACAAGUUAGAUCAAAUCAUUUUUACAACCAGUGUUUGACAUAGCCAAGACUGAAAUAAUAUUGUUUUUUUUUUUAUGGAAAAUAAUAUAUUUACAAUGAGCCACGUGAGAGAAAAAACUGGGAAAAAUAAAAUUUCAGCUUAAUUAGUAGUUAAAUAACUACACAAAAAUUGUAUUGUAUUAUAUUACGCUAAUACUUUAUGUUAUUAUAAUGAUUAAUUAAUAAAUCAUCUUUAGUUUAAAGUAGUUGAAAAGAAGAUGUGUAGAUAUAUGUAUGUAUUUUU